This 269-nucleotide ribosomal RNA is filed under the name uncultured prokaryote. RNAcentral's name for it is "partial 16S ribosomal RNA". It matches the Rfam family "Archaeal small subunit ribosomal RNA", at positions 474 to 743 of the family's 1478-position model. The record is from RNAcentral.
AACCAGCUCUUCAAGUGGUCGGGAUUAUUAUUGGGCUUAAAGUGUUCGUAGCCUGUUUAGUAAGUUCCUGGUUAAAUCGGAUAGCUUAACUAUCUGUCUGCUAGGAAUACUACUAUACUAGGGGGCGGGAGAGGUCUGAGGUACUCCAGGGGUAGCGGUGAAAUGCUAUAAUCCUUGGGGGACCACCAGUGGCGAAGGCGUCAGACUGGAACGCGCCCGACGGUGAGGGACGAAAGCCAGGGGAGCGAACCGGAUUAGAUACCCCCGUA